This 1565-nucleotide long non-coding RNA is filed under the name Apteryx rowi (Okarito brown kiwi). RNAcentral describes it as "lncRNA (ENSARWG00000011372.1)". Lineage: Eukaryota; Metazoa; Chordata; Aves; Apterygiformes; Apterygidae. The record is from RNAcentral.
GUUGAAUGUAACAUGGCAUAAAUGCCACCCGACCCAUGAKACCUGGAAGUCUAUGGGAGGGUUAUAGUGGUGGUACAGUGACUGCAGCUGAUAUGAGGGUCUCUGAUCUCUGGCUGUGAAAAUGAGCAGAGCUCAAGCAGCUUUCACUGCUGCUCCAUUCUAAUCUCGCACCCUUCAGGUGUGCUGUAUGUGCUCCAGGACUUUCUACUGGCACUCAAAGUGUUGGUAUCACCACUCUCCAAAGUCUUCAUGAGUCCCUAAUGGACCUUUCUCCAAGAGGCCCAGGUAGGCUCAGGCCUCUCUGAGUCUAUGUUGACAUCAAGAUGAGCAACUACACAGCUGCUAGCUUAUCUGUGCUUGUUUUAUCAAGCUGGCAGAGGUUACAAGAGCAGUGUAGAGUGCAGUGAAGGUCUUCCCAGGGGUUAGUCACCAGCAGACAAGCUCUCCAAGAUGCCUGGGUACAUACUCAGGUUGCUGGGGUGGGCUGGUGCCUGUGCUACUGCAUCUUCACAGCUCUUGAUCCCUGACCUGGAAGCUAUGGACAUACCUCCAGUGUGUGGUGCAAACAGACCCCAAGCAGGCCUUGUUAAGAAGGGCUGAUUUGGAGGCUGUUUAAUCCUCUGGAGACUUCUAGUUGGAAGCACGAGCAGAUUUUCCAGGCCUGUAGCAGAAGACUGUGCAUCUCUACAAGUGAGACACUGUCUCCUGCUGAGUGACCAGAUGGAGCAAAGACUGUUCUGGAGCAAAACUCGGAGGGUUCCUGAAACCCCUCUGUGGAUGAUGAAGGCAUGGGGGCUAAACCCUGUAAGAGAAUGGAGCUUAACUUUGCAGUGAGGAUGUAACUUUAAAUGGUACAAAGUUGCAUGUGCCUACUAGUAAUUAGAUGGACAUUUCAUACCAUCUCUUUGAAUAGUCUCUCUUCUUGAUGUUGAGCCUGAAUUACUGGCAGUUCAAAGCCAAAUGUCAGUCCCAUGUAUAGUCUUUCAGCAGAAGUUGUGUGACUGUGGAAACAGGAGAAACCUUGCUGACAAGGUAUUUGUGUUAAAAUAAUAAGCUUCCAUGCAAUUUUAAGAGUUCGUUCUGCACAAGGCUUGAUUCCUGUGUUGUUGCUUUCCACUUGGCAUGAAUAGAACUAUAUUCUCUUUUUAGUUUUAGACCUUCUCACCACAGUCAGAAACACUUGACUGUUAUGGCUAGAAUAUCACAACAUUCCCACUCAAGAUGGGAAAUUCUCUUCAAAGAAGAGAAAAGUGAUAUACAGCACCAAAUAGAAGGUUUGUAGCAAAGCAAGGAAGCCAGGUAAAAAUACAGGAAUCUAGCUUUAAUGUCAAAAGUCAUUCAUUACUUAAAUGGUCUAAAAUUUAACACAAUAAGCAUUGCAGGAUAAGAAUAGUGUCUGAACUUUUUUUUGGCAAAGAUCACUGAAAGAUUCCUUUCAAAAUUAAUAACACUGUACGUAGGAGAUCAAAAGUUAUCAGGUGAGAACAAUCAUCUCUGAAUUUUGAAUUUCUCCAUAAUGUCCUAAUUUAAAACAGAAUAAAGCAAACAAAACAACAAAGGAAGCA